RNAcentral lists this ribosomal RNA (497 nucleotides) under uncultured bacterium. RNAcentral's name for it is "partial 16S ribosomal RNA". It matches the Rfam family "Bacterial small subunit ribosomal RNA", at positions 28 to 507 of the family's 1533-position model. The record is from RNAcentral.
GAUGAACGCUGGCGGCGCGCCUAAUACAUGCAAGUCGAGCGAACGGACGAGAAGCUUGCUUCUCUGAUGUUAGCGGCGGACGGGUGAGUAACACGUGGAUAACCUACCUAUAAGACUGGGAUAACUUCGGGAAACCGGCGCUAAUACCGGAUAAUAUUUUGAACCGCAUGGUUCAAAAGUGAAAGACGGUCUUUCUGUCACUUAUAGAUGGAUCCGCGCUGCAUUAGCUAGUUGGUAAGGUAACGGCUUACCAAGGCAACGAUGCAUAGCCGACCUGAGAGGGUGAUCGGCCACACUGGAACUGAGACACGGUCCAGACUCCUACGGGAGGCAGCAGUAGGGAAUCUUCAGCAAUGGGCGAAAGCCUGACGGAGAAACGCCGCGUGAGUGAUGAAGGUCUUCGGAUCGUAAAACUCUGUUAUUAGGGAAGAACAUAUGUGUAAGUAACUGUGCACAUCUUGACGGUACCUAAUCAGAAAGCCACGGUUAACUACGUG